GACGAACGCUGGCGGCGUGCCUAAUACAUGCAAGUUGAGCGCUGAAGGUUGGUACUUGUACCAACUGGAUGAGCAGCGAACGGGUGAGUAACGCGUGGGGAAUCUGCCUUUGAGCGGGGCACAACAUUUGGAAACGAAUGCUAAUACCGCAUAAAAACUUUAAACACAAGUUUUAAGUUUGAAAGAUGCAAUUGCAUCACUCAAAGAUGAUCCCGCGUUGUAUUAGCUAGUUGGUGAGGUAAAGGCUCACCAAGGCGAUGAUACAUAGCCGACCUGAGAGGGUGAUCGGCCACAUUGGGACUGAGACACGGCCCAAACUCCUACGGGAGGCAGCAGUAGGGAAUCUUCGGCAAUGGACGAAAGUCUGACCGAGCAACGCCGCGUGAGUGAAGAAGGUUUUCGGAUCGUAAAACUCUGUUGGUAGAGAAGAACGUUGGUGAGAGUGGAAAGCUCAUCAAGUGACGGUAACUACCCAGAAAGGGACGGCUAACUACGUG
This 497-nucleotide ribosomal RNA is filed under the name uncultured bacterium. Its description in RNAcentral is "partial 16S ribosomal RNA". It matches the Rfam family "Bacterial small subunit ribosomal RNA", at positions 28 to 507 of the family's 1533-position model. The record is from RNAcentral.